UAGUGGCAGACGGGUGAGUAAUGUAUAGGAAUCUACCUAGUAGUACGGAAUAAUUGUUGGAAACGGCAACUAAUACCGUAUACGCCCUACGGGGGAAAAAUUUAUUGCUAUUAGAUGAGCCUAUAUUAGAUUAGCUAGUUGGUAGGGUAAAAGCUUACCAAGGCAAUGAUCUAUAGCUGAUCUGAGAGGAUGAUCAGCCACACUGGAACUGAGAUACGGUCCAGACUCCUACGGGAGGCAGCAGUGGGGAAUAUUGGACAAUGGGCGAAAGCCUGAUCCAGCCAUGCCGCAUGAGUGAAGAAGGCCUUUGGGUUGUAAAGCUCUUUUAGUGAGGAAGAUAAUGACGGUACUCACAGAAGAAGUCCUGGCUAACUCCGUGCCAGCAGCCGCGGUAAUACGGAGAGGGCUAGCGUUAUUCGGAAUCAUUGGGCGUAAAGGGCGCGUAGGCUGAUUAGUAAGUUAAAAGUGAAAUCCCAAGGCUCAACCUUGGAAU
This 493-nucleotide ribosomal RNA is filed under the name Wolbachia endosymbiont of Ctenocephalides felis. RNAcentral's name for it is "bacterial SSU rRNA". It matches the Rfam family "Bacterial small subunit ribosomal RNA", at positions 93 to 621 of the family's 1533-position model. Lineage: Bacteria; Pseudomonadati; Pseudomonadota; Alphaproteobacteria; Rickettsiales; Anaplasmataceae. The record is from RNAcentral.